RNAcentral lists this ribosomal RNA (253 nucleotides) under uncultured bacterium. Its description in RNAcentral is "partial 16S ribosomal RNA". It matches the Rfam family "Bacterial small subunit ribosomal RNA", at positions 524 to 776 of the family's 1533-position model. The record is from RNAcentral.
UACGUAGGUGGCAAGCGUUAUCCGGAUUUAUUGGGCGUAAAGGGAACGCAGGCGGUCUUUUAAGUCUGAUGUGAAAGCCUUCGGCUUAACCGGAGUAGUGCAUUGGAAACUGGGAGACUUGAGUGCAGAAGAGGUGAGUGGAACUCCAUGUGUAGCGGUGAAGUGCGUAGAUAUAUGGAAGAACACCAGUGGCGAAAGCGGCUCUCUGGUCUGUAACUGACGCUGAGGUUCGAAAGCGUGGGUAGCAAACAGG